AUGGAGCUCUCAUUCACCUCGGCCCAUCCCAUGCUCCUCUUCCUGCUCCUACCUCUACUCUAUGUCCUCCGCCUACGUCGGAACACCAGAAAGCAACCUCACGCCGACGGCCUCAAGGCCUACCCCAUCAUCGGCACGCUCCCGCACUUCGUCAAGAACCAGGACUGCCUCGUCGAGUGGUCGGCCGGCGUCGUCGCUCGUUGCCCCACGCACACCAUGGUCUUCGACUUCAAGGGUCUCGGCCUCAUGGCCGGUGCCAUCACCGCGAAUCCGGCCAAUGUGGAAUACAUCGUGAAGACCAACUUCCAGAACUACCCCAAGGGUGAGUUCGUGGUGUCUGCCAUGGCGGACUUCCUUGGCCAUGGCAUCUUCAACUCCGACGGCGACCAGUGGCUCUCGCAGCGCAAGGCCGCCAGCUACGAGUUCAGCAAGCGCUCGUUGAGAAACUUCGUGGUCAGCACCGUCCGGUUCGAGGUCGUCGAGCGGCUGCUUCCUCUGCUCUCCCGGGCGGAGCUAGAAGGCCUGACGCUGGACAUGCAGGACGUUCUCGAGCGCUUCGCGUUCGACAACAUCUGCUGCGUCGCCUUCGACGAGGACCCGGCGUGCCUCACCGACGACGGCCUGGGGUUGAAUGGGCGUGCCGAGUUCAUGCAUGCCUUGAACGACGCGCAGAUGAUGAUCAUGGCCCGGUUCAUGUCGCCCGUCAAGUGGGCAUGGCGGGUCAAGAAGCUACUCAACAUGGGACCGGAGAGGCGGAUGAGCGAGGCACUCGCCACGAUUCACGGCUACGUCGACAGGAUCAUCCGUGACCGCGGCGAGAGGGGAGCGGCCGGGCUGGCGCGCAAGGACGACUUCCUCUCACGCUUCGUCUCCAGCGGCGAGCACAGCAACGAGAGCCUUCGUGAUGUGGUCACCAGCUUCAUCAUAGCCGGGCGGGACACCACCUCAUCAGCGCUCACUUGGUUCUUCUGGCUCGUGUCCCGGCGGCGCGAGGUGGAGGACAAGAUCGUCCGCGAGAUACGCGCGGUGCGAGCGUCCAGCGGGAGCACGGAUGCAGCCUUCAGCUUGGACGAGCUGCGCGAGAUGCACUACCUGCACGCAGCGGUCACGGAGUCCAUGCGUCUAUACCCACCCGUGGCCAUGGACUCGCGCUGCUGCAAGCAUGACGACGUCCUGCCCGAUGGCACGUUCGUCGGUAAAGGUUGGCAGGUCUCCUACAGCGCGUAUGCCAUGGCGCGGUUGGAGGAGAUAUGGGGCGAGGACUGUGCAGAGUACCGGCCAGAGCGAUGGCUCGAUGAGGAGGGUGCGUUCCGGCCAGAGAGCUCGUUUAAGUACCCGGUCUUCCAUGCCGGGCCGAGGAUGUGCCUCGGCAAAGAGAUGGCUUACAUACAGAUGAAGUCCAUUGCUGCCUGCGUGUUGGAGAGGUUCAGCUUCCAGUUCAUCGGAGGCGAGAGCCGGCCAGGGGUUGUGUUCUCCGUGACCUUGCGUAUGGAGGGCGGCUUGCCGAUGCAAGUGAAGAAGAGGGGGGCACUGAGCAGCUAG
Molecule: ribosomal RNA, 1542 nt
Filed under: Triticum aestivum (bread wheat)
Lineage: Eukaryota; Viridiplantae; Streptophyta; Magnoliopsida; Poales; Poaceae
Description: partial small subunit ribosomal RNA
Source: RNAcentral